AACGCGCGGCGUGCCUAAUACAUGCAAGUCGAACGAGUUCUGAUUAUUGAAAGGUGCUUGCAUCUUGAUUUAAUUUUGAACGAGUGGCGGACGGGUGAGUAACACGUGGGUAACCUGCCCUUAAGUGGGGGAUAACAUUUGGAAACAGAUGCUAAUACCGCAUAAAUCCAAGAACCGCAUGGUUCUUGGCUGAAAGAUGGCGUAAGCUAUCGCUUUUGGAUGGACCCGCGGCGUAUUAGCUAGUUGGUGAGGUAACGGCUCACCAAGGCAAUGAUACGUAGCCGAACUGAGAGGUUGAUCGGCCACAUUGGGACUGAGACACGGCCCAAACUCUACGGGAGGCAGCAGUAGGGAAUCUUCCACAAUGGACGCAAGUCUGAUGGAGCAACGCCGCGUGAGUNAAGAAGGCUUUCGGGUCGUAAAACUCUGUUGUUGGAGAAGAAUGGUCGGCAGAGUAACUGUUGUCGGCGUGACGGUAUCCAACCAGAAAGCCACGGCUAACUACGUGCCAGCAGCCGCGGUAAUACGUAGGUGGCAAGCGUUAUCCGGAUUUAUUGGGCGUAAAGCGAGCGCAGGCGGUUUUUUAAGUCUGAUGUGAAAGCCCUCGGCUUAACCGAGGAAGUGCAUCGGAAACUGGGAAACUUGAGUNCAGAAGAGGACAGUGGAACUCCAUGUGUAGCGGUGAAAUGCGUAGAUAUAUGGAAGAACACCAGUGGCGAAGGCGGCUGUCUGGUCUGUAACUGACGCUGAGGCUCGAAAGCAUGGGUAGCGAACAGGAUUAGAUACCCUGGUAGUCCAUGCCGUAAACGAUGAAUGCUAGGUGUUGGAGGGUUUCCGCCCUUCAGUGCCGCAGCUAACGCAUUAAGCAUUCCGCCUGGGGAGUACGACCGCAAGGUUGAAACUCAAAGGAAUUGACGGGGGCCCGCACAAGCGGUGGAGCAUGUGGUUUAAUUCGAAGCAACGCGAAGAACCUUACCAGGUCUUGACAUCUUUUGAUCACCUGAGAGAUCAGGUUUCCCCUUCGGGGGCAAAAUGACAGGUGGUGCAUGGUUGUCGUCAGCUCGUGUCGUGAGAUGUUGGGUUAAGUCCCGCAACGAGCGCAACCCUUAUGACUAGUUGCCAGCAUUUAGUUGGGCACUCUAGUAAGACUGCCGGUGACAAACCGGAGGAAGGUGGGGAUGACGUCAAAUCAUCAUGCCCCUUAUGACCUGGGCUACACACGUGCUACAAUGGAUGGUACAACGAGUUGCGAGACCGCGAGGUCAAGCUAAUCUCUUAAAGCCAUUCUCAGUUCGGACUGUAGGCUGCAACUCGCCUACACGAAGUCGGAAUCGCUAGUAAUCGCGGAUCAGCACGCCGCGGUGAAUACGUUCCCGGGCCUUGUACACACCGCCCGUCACACCAUGAGAGUUUGUAACACCCGAAGCCGGUGGCGUAACCCUUUUAGGGAGCGAGCCGUCUAAGGUGGGNCAAAUGAUUAGGGUGAAGUCGUAACAAGGUAGCCGUAGGAGAACC
RNAcentral lists this ribosomal RNA (1515 nucleotides) under Lacticaseibacillus rhamnosus. RNAcentral's name for it is "bacterial SSU rRNA". It matches the Rfam family "Bacterial small subunit ribosomal RNA". The record is from RNAcentral. Lineage: Bacteria; Bacillati; Bacillota; Bacilli; Lactobacillales; Lactobacillaceae.